Drosophila sulfurigaster albostrigata is the source of this 907-nucleotide long non-coding RNA. RefSeq lists it as uncharacterized. The transcript has 3 exons. Lineage: Eukaryota; Metazoa; Arthropoda; Insecta; Diptera; Drosophilidae. The record is from RefSeq and is a predicted model, not a curated record.
UUAGAAUUUCAACAUUCCGUUAUAAUCCCAAAAAUUGAACCACUUUUGAACAUGUCAACACAUUUAUUAUACUAUUUUUAGCAACUUACAUGCUUGACAAGUUAUAUCUAAAUUAAUUUUCGUCAGGUUUCGCUUAAGCAGCACAUAACUUGUUGUGCUCGCCACUCCAAACUGCAAUGACGCAUGAAGAUCAUUUAUUCACGAGAAAAAAAAACCAAACCGAAAAAAAAACCCGCCCGCAAAAGCUGUUUCAACUGUGCUGAAAAGUCUCCCACAUGUGGUAGACUCAUUUGCAGGCAGUGUAUGCGGUGGCAGAAGCAGCAGCAGCAGCAGAGCUUUAUGCUCGCGGUGCUCAACACCGCAAUGCACCUGCACGCUACGCUUCCGCUGAGCAACGCUUCCGAUCCGGCUGUAAAUGGUGUUCCAGUUAGAUGAGCAACGGCAUCGUCAUCGGCAUCGCCAUUCAUUGAAUAUGCCGGCAACAGCGACCGAGGCAGCGACCGAGGCAGCGACUGCGACUGCGACAGCGACAGCAUAAACAAUAGAGCACCGCGAAAAACGCGAACUACGCGACGUAGAGUCAAUGUUUAUCAUUGUCUCACUGGCCAACAACAGCAACAGCAGCAACAUCAGCAGCAGCAGCAGCAGUAACAACAAUGCGCCACAAUCGACCGUUGUCAUGGGAAUCAUACACCUAACGAAAAAUUUUGGAUUCAAAUGCCAGCAUAUUCAGUAUGCGUGAAAUUUUGAAUUUCAAAAACAAAUUUCCGAUUAAUUUCUUAAAUCACAAACCAGAAUAAACUAUAUACUUGAAAUUUGAAUACACUUCAAAUAUUCAAUUUAAAUUUUGUAGAAUUUGAAAUUUUUAUAUUAUGCAAAAACUUAACAAAGAUCAAGAAGAAAAUAA